Molecule: ribosomal RNA, 887 nt
Filed under: uncultured bacterium
Lineage: Bacteria
Description: bacterial SSU rRNA
Rfam family: Bacterial small subunit ribosomal RNA
Source: RNAcentral
AGAGUUUGAUCAUGGCUCAGCCUGAACGCUGGCGGCGUGGCUAAGACAUGCAAGUCGUACGGGUGUAGCAAUACACCAGUGGCGGACGGGUGAGUAAUGUAUCGCUAACGUACCCCGGAUUCUGGGAUAGCUGCCCGAAAGGGCAGGUAAUACCAGAUGAUAUAUCCUUUUCGCAUGAAGAGGAUCUCAAAGGGAAACCGUUCUGGGAGCGGGCGAUAUCGUAUCAGCUAGUUGGUGAGGUAACGGCUCACCAAGGCGACGACGCGUAGCCGGACUGAGAGGUUGGCCGGCCACAUUGGGACUGAGACACUGCCCAGACUCCUACGGGGGGCUGCAGUAACGAAUCUUCCGCAAUGCACGCAAGUGUGACGGAGCGACGCCGCGUGUGGGACGAAGUCCUUCGGGAUGUAAACCACUGUCAGGGGUUAGAAAGUUCUGAUCAACCCCAGAGGAAGGCACGGCUAACUCUGUGCCAGCAGCCGCGGUAAGACAGAGGUGCCAAGCGUUAGGCGGAAUCACUGGGCUUAAAGCGUGUGUAGGUGGACUGGUAAGUACCUUGUGAAAUCCCACGGCUUAACCGUGGAACUGCUUGGUAUACUGCUGGUCUUGAGCAACCUAGGGGCGAGUGGAACAAAUGGUGGAGCGGUGAAAUGCGUAGAUAUCAUUUGGAACGCCAAUGGUGAAAACAACUCGCUGGGGGUUUGCUGACACUGAGACACGAAAGCCAGGGGAGCAAACGGGAUUAGAUACCCCGGUAGUCCUGGNCAUAAACGAUGUCCACUAGAUCGUAGUGCCNCUGACGGUAUUACGGUCGAAGCCGAAGUGCUAAGUGGACCGCCUGGGAAGUACNGUCGCNAGGCUAAAACUCAAAGGNAUUGACGGGGGCU